This 253-nucleotide ribosomal RNA is filed under the name uncultured bacterium. RNAcentral's name for it is "partial 16S ribosomal RNA". It matches the Rfam family "Archaeal small subunit ribosomal RNA", at positions 474 to 727 of the family's 1478-position model. The record is from RNAcentral.
UACCAGCACCCCGAGUGGUCGGGACGAUUAUUGGGCCUAAAGCAUCCGUAGCCGGUACUGCAAGUCUUCCGUUAAAUCCACCUGCUCAACAGUUGGGCUGCGGAGGAUACUACAGCGCUAGGAGGCGGGAGAGGCAAGCGGUACUCAGUGGGUAGGGGUAAAAUCCUCUGAUCCAUUGAAGACCACCAGUGGCGAAGGCGGCUUGCCAGAACGCGCUCGACGGUGAGGGAUGAAAGCUGGGGGAGCAAACCGG